UUUCAGUAGGGAGGAAGGUAGUGUAGUUAACACCUGCAUUAUUUGACGUUACCUACAGAAGAAGCACCGGCUAACUCCGUGCCAGCAGCCGCGGUAAUACGGAGGGUGCGAGCGUUAAUCGGAAUUACUGGGCGUAAAGCGCAUGCAGGCGGCCUGUUAAGUCAGAUGUGAAAGACCCGGGGCGUUAACCUCGGAAUUGCAUUUGAAACUGGCAGGCUAGAGUCUUGUAGAGGGGGGUAGGAAUUUCAGGUGUAGCGGUGAAAUGCGUAGAGAUCUGAAGGAAUACCAGUGGCGAAGGCGGCCCCCUCGGACAAAGACUGACGCUCAGAUGCGAAAGCGUGGGGAGCAAACAGGAUUAGAUACCCUGGUAG
This 371-nucleotide ribosomal RNA is filed under the name uncultured bacterium. RNAcentral's name for it is "bacterial SSU rRNA". It matches the Rfam family "Bacterial small subunit ribosomal RNA", at positions 434 to 793 of the family's 1533-position model. The record is from RNAcentral.